Molecule: ribosomal RNA, 301 nt
Filed under: uncultured bacterium
Lineage: Bacteria
Description: partial 16S ribosomal RNA
Rfam family: Bacterial small subunit ribosomal RNA
Source: RNAcentral
CAGUCCCGCGGUAAUACGAAGGGGGCUAGCGUUGCUCGGAAUGACUGGGCGUAAAGGGCGCGUAGGCGGCGGCCAAAGUCAGGCGUGAAAUUCCUGGGCUCAACCUGGGGGCUGCGUUUGAUACUUGGUUGCUUGAGUGGGGAAGAGGGUCGUGGAAUUCCCAGUGUAGAGGUGAAAUUCGUAGAUAUUGGGAAGAACACCGGUGGCGAAGGCGGCGACCUGGUCCUUGACUGACGCUGAGGCGCGAAAGCGUGGGGAGCAAACAGGAUUAGAUACCCCCGUAGUCCCUGUCUCUUAUACA